This 506-nucleotide ribosomal RNA is filed under the name uncultured bacterium. Its description in RNAcentral is "bacterial SSU rRNA". It matches the Rfam family "Bacterial small subunit ribosomal RNA", at positions 899 to 1397 of the family's 1533-position model. The record is from RNAcentral.
ACUCAAAUGAAUAGACGGGGGCCCGCACAAGCGGUGGAGCACGUGGUUUAAUUCGAUGCAAACCGAAGAACCUUACCUGGGUUUGACAUGUAGGUAUUAGUGAGGUGAAAGCCGAGCGAUCCUGGCUUGCCAGGAAGCCUAUGCAGGUGCUGCAUGGCUGUCGUCAGCUCGUGUCGUGAGAUGUUGGGUUAAGUCCCGCAACGAGCGCAACCCUUGUUGUCAGUUGCCAUCGGGAGAGCCGGGCACUCUGGCGAGACUGCCGCCGACAAGGCGGAGGAAGGUGGGGACGACGUCAAGUCAUCAUGGCCUUUAUGCCCAGGGCGACACACGUGCUACAAUGGGGUGCACAGAGGGAAGCGAUGGAGCGAUCCGGAGCGGAUCCCAGAAAGCGCCUCUCAGUUCGGAUUGUAGUCUGCAACCCGGCUACAUGAAGCCGGAAUCGCUAGUAAUCGCGGAUCAGCCAAGCCGCGGUGAAUACGUUCCCGGGCCUUGUACACACCGCCCGU